This is a long non-coding RNA of Benincasa hispida (wax gourd), 765 nucleotides long. RefSeq lists it as uncharacterized. The record is from RefSeq and is a predicted model, not a curated record. Lineage: Eukaryota; Viridiplantae; Streptophyta; Magnoliopsida; Cucurbitales; Cucurbitaceae.
AACAAAAAGGGGAACUUUUAUAUAUAUUUGGGGAAAAAAAUUAUAAUUACGGCUACCUCGUAAAACAUGCAAGGGAAAAAAGAGAGGAAAUUUCUUCCUCUUCCUCGUAAAGCACCCAGCGCCUCUCUCUCUCUCCCUAUUUCUCGAUCUCGCCCUCUCCCUCGCUUAGCCGACCGCGUCUGACCACCGGAGAAGUCGCCGCCUCUCGCCCGUACCAAGCCGUCGACGUCCGCCGCUCUUCGCGCCGAACGACUCCGUCGCACAUCGAGCCUCCAUAUCUGUGAAGCCGCCGCCGGUCGCACGCGCCGGGUCCGUUCACCUGACAUUUCCACCGCCGCGUUGGACUUCCAUAUCUCAGCAGCCGCUUCGUCUACCGCAGCUGUCCACGUCGUCCACCAGUCACUAGUCACGGUUCCUUCUUCCGGUCGCUGGAUCUCGACUUUUAGCUGUUAGAUCGAGGAUUUUGAGCUUUGUGAACGGCUGUCCGACGAUAAUUGUGAGUUUUGGUAAAGGAAAUGAUAGGACGAUGAAUUACAAGAAGAAUCUGUGACUAGGCCUUGGGACUUGAUAUCGCUUUCACAUAUGUUUUUCUCAUAUUUUCUUAUUUUAGUUUAAGAGUCAAAUAUUUAAAUUCUUUGAUUGUUUUAUUCGGUUACUUAUUUAAUUUAUUUUUUAAUUGGAAUUAGGGGUACUUGGAAUGGGAAAUUUGGACCAAUGACCUAAUAUCUGUGCCUAUAAUGCCAAAUGACUCGAUUUUUUAAAAAA